Desulfobacula toluolica Tol2 is the source of this 169-nucleotide non-coding RNA. NCBI's taxonomy places the organism in Bacteria, Pseudomonadati, Thermodesulfobacteriota, Desulfobacteria, Desulfobacterales, Desulfobacteraceae. The record is from Rfam.
GCCAAUGAGGGAUCUGAAGGAAGCCUGCGUCAAAUUUGUCACCCAAACUUGGUGUGAACCUCCGGUAGGCCAGGCGGAAUGGGCGAGAUACCUCCGAUUAUCGAAGCCCGAAAUCCUUUCCGUAAUUCCGCAGGGUAUGAGAGGUGGGUGGGCAAUGAAAGUGUAUGAC